This is a non-coding RNA of Rattus norvegicus (Norway rat), 69 nucleotides long. Lineage: Eukaryota; Metazoa; Chordata; Mammalia; Rodentia; Muridae. The record is from Rfam.
GGGGAUUUAGCUCAGUGGUAGAGCGCUUGCCUAGCAAGCACAAGGCCCUGGGUCCGGUCCCCAGCUCCG